Camellia sinensis is the source of this 4496-nucleotide non-coding RNA. The record is from RefSeq and is a predicted model, not a curated record. Lineage: Eukaryota; Viridiplantae; Streptophyta; Magnoliopsida; Ericales; Theaceae.
UCGACGGAAACAACAUGAAACUGGUUCGAGAUCCGUACUCUCUCAAGUUCUCUCACAAAUUUAACCCAGCCCCACCAAUUCUCUCUAAACACAAACCUCACCACCACCACCACCACCACCACCACCACCACUCCCUCAUGGCCUCCGCCACCGUAGACUCACCGUCCUCCGACCGCCUUCAACUCGAAUCAAUCCCCGCCGUCGAUCUCCGCCUCCUCUCCCAAUCGGAACUCUACGCCCUUUCCCUCUGCUCCGACGGAGCAUUCGAUCCACUCUGCGACGACGUUGUGAUUCCCAAAAUCGAUCGCUCCGUCUUCAACGAAUCCGCCGGCAGCCGCAAACAGACCUACUCUCGCCUCCGCCUCGCCCCUCGCAAGCCCGAAUCCGCCUCCUCCACCGCCACCACUUCCUCCAUCCCCCGCCGCACCCCUCACCUCCGUACCCUAAAAUCCGCCACCAAUCUCUCCGACGAUACCGAUCCCGAACGGGCCGAAAAUUCCCAAAUCAUCGGUCUCUUGAAAGAUCUUUUCGUAUCGGACAUUAAUAGCGACGAAUUAGUCCCAAUUCGUGUCGAAUACAGCGAUUCGCUUCCCAAUUUGCCGAAUGUGGGCAAUUACGGGGUGAAGCAUUUGCCGAAUGUGGGCAAUUAUGGGGUGAAGCGGAAGAGAGGGAGGCCGCGGAAGAAUGAAAAUCUGGCACUGGUGGCUGCUGAAGUGACUGAGGUGGUUCCCGUGGAGGUUCAGGACGAGGGCGGGGACGGUGUGAUUAAGGACAUUGUUGUGUAUGAGAAUGUUGAGGACAGGGAUAAGGAGAUUGUGAAUAAAAAUGGGAAUGUUGUUGAUUUGGCUGAGCUGGCGAGUUUGGAAGAUCCUUAUGGUGUUGAAUUGCAGAGGAGGACUGAGAAUUUGAAGACAGAGGAAGAGCUGUUAGGGUUUUUAAAGGAGUCGAAUGGACAGUGGGGAAGUAGGAGGAAGAAGAAGAAGAUUGUCGAUGCAAAUGAGUUUGGAGAUGCAUUGCCCAAAGGUUGGAAGCUCUUGCUUUCCCUCAAGAAGAAAGAAGGCCGUGUGUGGAUGUUUGUUCGUCGAUACAUAAGCCCUAAUGGACGGCAAUUUGUGACAUGCAAGGAAGUUUCCUCAUAUUUGCUUUCCCUCUUUGGAGUCCAAGAUUCACAUCAGCCAAACUGUGGUCAAAGCAAUGAGAAUAUUCAGUUGACUUGCAACAUGGCUUGCGAAAAUGCUGCAGAUCUUGCUGUCAAAGAAGUCAACAAAAGUGGAGACCUUGUUUGCCAUUCACCAUCGGUCAUUACUUGUGUCUCAAAUGAUCACGAGAAGCAAGUCACUUCAGAGGCUGGAAAUUCUGCGGAGAUCCAAAUGGGAGAUAUUUUAAAGUGUGACAGGUGCUCCAUGUCUUUCAAUGAGAAGGAUGGUUUGUUGCACCACCAAGUAUCAUCCCAUAGGAGAAAGAAAUCUAGAUUUGGUGCAUCCAUCACUGAUGGGGUGAUAAUCAAAGGUGGACAAUUUGAGUGCCAGUUCUGCCAUAAGACAUUCAAUGAAAGGAAUCGUUACAAUGGCCAUGUUGGGGCCCAUAAAAGACACCACAUGAAGAGUGAUGAAGCAUUGUCAGGAGCUCUGACCUUGCAAAAUAGUGUUAGCCUUUCAUCCUCAGAUGAAGUUCCCCCGAAGAAGUCUAUGAUGCAAACAUCCAUUGGAGAUGACUAUGAUGCUGCAACAUAUAAUACCAAUGCCGAUAGUGUACCGAAGCCUGUUUCUUCUCAAAGUAAACUUACAACUGGUUCAGAUAUAGAAAGUUAUAGUGACAGGUCUGGUCAUGAAGUAAAUGUUUUGCCUCAUGAUGAGCAGGAUGCAAAUUCCAUUGGAAAUGAAAGAAAUUUCGCUGAAGACCCUUGUGUAAAGCACGAUAGAGGCAAUAAGAUGGCCAAUUGUUUGGGUAGGGUUGAUGAGGCUAAUGAUGAUGUUACUGCUACAUUUAAUUUUUGUUUGGAUUCUGAAGUUGCUGUGUCUGGUAAUGAGAUUAACAGUAAUGGUGAGUGCACUGCAAACAGAGUUAACGAUCAAGUUGUUGGACAGGGAAGAAGUUUGGAAAGCUGUCCACAUUCUCCUUUUGCUAAUGAGAAAAUUUGUGGUGCUGAAAUUAAUGUGAAUGAGGACUCUAUUAUUUUAGAGGAGCCAAAUCAGGAAGCAGGUUUAGAAAGUGUUUCGCUUGCUCCCCUUGAGAAUGAAAAAUCGUGUGGUGUUGAAAACAUGGAGGAUGUGCAUGAACUUGAUACACUGAAAUUUGAUAGUAAACUAAUCCAUAGUUUUGGCAGUAGUCGUGCUGAACCAGAUGAGGAUUUUGUUACUGAAGGCAAGCAACAAAAUGGUUCUGGAGCCUGUUCACCCAUCCCAGUCAGUAAUGAUGAAAAAUGUGAUACUUCUAAUUACAUGAAUUCAUUUUCAACUUCUUCACUGGAAGAGUCCAAGCAAAAGAGAGAUUCUGAAAGAAGUGAUAAGGAAACAUGUGGUGUCAAGGAUAUUUACAGGGCUUCUGGUAGCUCAAUCUUCAAGACCAAGAUUGAUGCAACAAACAACAGUGGGAACAAGGAGGCAAUAGAUGAGGAUGCUAUAACUAGGGUUGAACAUGAGAAUUCUGAAAGAUAUUUGUUUGUUCCAUCUUGGAAAGAACAAUUAUGUGGUAUGAAAGAUAAUGAGAGUGUGGUUUCUGUUCGCACAAUGGAGGAACGAGUGCGGGAAAGAGGUUCUGAAGACAGUCUUCAUAUUCUAUCUGGUUAUGAACAAACCUGUGGUGUCAAAAAUGAUAUGGGUAAUAUUUCUACAAGGAAAAUGGAGGAGCUUAAGUUUGAUGAAGUUCAAACUUACAGGAAUAAUGAACUCGCUUUUGGCAUCAGUUACCCUAGACUGAACACACAGAAUAGAAAUCUUGAAUUUGGUUCACCUGUUCUGUCUGGGAAUGCGCAAGAAUUUGUUGAAGAAAAUGUAACUGGGGUUUGCAAUAGCACAGAGGAGCAUCCCAAGCAGAAAGGAAGUUUUGAUUGUGGUUUAUUUGCUCAGUCUUGUACAGGGAAAACUUUUGGUGAUGUAUAUAUGAUGAAUAGAGUUUCUACAAGGUCCAUCGAGGAACCCAAACCUGAAGUCCAAAACUUUAGCAAUAAUGAGCUAAUGAUUUCUUUUGGCAACAAUGGCACGGGCAUAGUUGCUGAUGUUAUGAAUAAUGUUCCUAUGCAUCAAACAUUUAGUUUCGAAGCUAAUCCGAGUAGGGAAAACAGCAGAAUAGGGAAGGAUGCGAAAGAGGAAAGUUGGUUACUUGGUCCAUCUUGUUUUCCCAAAACAUGCGCUGAUGAUAAUCAUUUGAGCAGGGUUCACGCUGUUGGAAUUUGGGAUGGGCCCAUGAUGGAUGAGGUUGUAAAUUCUGAGCAUGAUAAGUUAACUAUUGGUUUUGGCAGCAUUAAUACCCAAUCAGGUGGGAAUGUCAUGCCCGGCAAUAUGUGGAGACUUGAUGACGAAAUUGUCUUGCAGAGUACUUCAGCUGAUACUUCAACCCAGCAGCAGCAAUCUGCAGGUUGUUUUCCCACCUUCGGUAUGCUCUCAGAUAAGCAGGGUGAAAAUGAGCUCCUUGGAGUUGAUGGCAAGUAUGACAGCAUGUCAGGUUUUCAAGGGGCACAAUCAGGUCAUAUUGAACCUGUGGAAUUCAGUUUCCUGACCAUGCAAAAUUUGAAUUCUCUUCCAGGAGACUCCAAAUCUCUGUCCUAUAACACACAGAUGGACCAAGGGUUUGAUUCCUCAUUUUGGCUUGAAAAGGAUGCUUUAUCACUGAAUCUAGCUUCCAGGAAUCAGGUUACUUCUAUCUGUGUUUGGUGCAGAAAUGAAUUCCAUGGUGAGUCUCUACACCCUGGAACACAAACAGGUGGAAUCGGUUCCAUGUGUCCAACCUGCAGUGCAAAAGUUACGCAGCAAUUUAAUGUCUUCUAGAGUGGCUUGUCCUUGGAAACUCCAGCCGCAGCAAAGACUUGUUUCUCACAUUUUUCUUUGCUAUGUUGAUCUUGAAUUCUUGAUAUCAGGGGAAGAAGGAAACACAAGGGUAUCUUGGAGUGCAGAGCACCAAUCAUUAGAUCAAGGCUAUUUUAGGCAAGAAGGCUACUAAUGAAGUGGCUAGAUUUGGAGCACUUUGCACUUGCUUGGCAUUUAAGUAAUUGAUUGCAUCAUGAAGUAACUUGUACAAGUGCUGCAGGAAAGACAGUACAUAAGCGCAGGUGGAUCUUCAUAGAGCACUAGGUCCUCUUUUGCAAAUUGUUUUGUUUUGAUUCGAGUAUUAUUUGAAUUUCAUCUUGGAUCAUAGUUGUUGUCGGAUUUGUUAACCUUGCUAUAUAUCAACCAAGAAUUAAAAGGAGACAAGAAGAAAAGAUCAAACCCUAUGCUUUAAUCUCUCAGACAAAUUUACAAUAUUUUAUGAUCAUUGGAAACCAGUUUUAAUAUUUUAUC